Molecule: ribosomal RNA, 1724 nt
Filed under: Cimex adjunctus
Lineage: Eukaryota; Metazoa; Arthropoda; Insecta; Hemiptera; Cimicidae
Description: SSU rRNA
Rfam family: Eukaryotic small subunit ribosomal RNA
Source: RNAcentral
CGUGCAGUNUCAGUACAGACUAUAUUAAAGUGAAACCGCAAAAGGCUCAGUAAACCAGUUUUAAUUUACUAGAGUUAACUUGACUGUGUUUGGAUAACUGUGGUAAUUCUAGAGCUAAUACAUGCAACCAAGCCGUGACCAUUCGUGGUCAGGGCGCUUUUAUUAGACCAAGACCAAUCGCCCGGCCAGUCCGGGCGUUCAGUUGAGGAACCUAGAUAACACAGCAGAUCGCAUGGUCCUCGUACCGGCGACCUAUCUUUCAAAUGCCUGACUUAUCAACUGACGAUGGUAGACUCUGUGUCUACCAUGGCUGUUACGGGUAACGGGGAAUCAGGGUUCGAUUCCGGAGAGGGAGCCUGAGAAACGGCUACCACAUCCAAGGAAGGCAGCAGGCACGCAAAUUACCCACUCCCGGAACGGGGAGGUAGUGACAAAAAAUAACGAUACGGGACUCGAUAUGAGGCCUCGUAAUCGGAAUGAGUACACUCUAAAUCCUUUAACAAAAAUCUAUUGGAGGGCAAGUCUGGUGCCAGCAGCCGCGGUAAUUCCAGCUCCAAUAGCGUAUAUUAAAGUUGUUGCGGUUAAAAAGCUCGUAGUUGGUUCUGCGUCCCGCGCUGUCGGUACACCGUUUGUCGGUGACACUGGCAUGACGCGGGAUGUCCUGUCGGUGGCGGCGGAAACCAUAUCGCCCUCGGGUAACACCGCGGCGUGUUGGCCUUCUGUCGCCGGCUAUAUCCUACCGCGGUGCUCUUCACUGAGUGUCGAGGUAGGCCGACACGUUUACUUUGAACAAAUUAGAGUGCUUAAAGCAGGCAAAAAUCUCUGCCAGAAUAGUGGUGCAUGGAAUAAUGGAACAGGACCUUGGUUCUAUUCUGUUGGUCUCCGGAACACAAGGUAAUGAUCAAUGUGGACAGGCGGGGGCAUUCGUAUUGCGGCGUUAGAGGUGAAAUUCUUGGAUCGUCGCAGGACGCACUAGAGCGAAAGCAAUUGCCNAGUAUGUCUUGAGCUUUCCCCGGGAAACCAAAGCUUUUGGGUUCCGGGGGAAGUAUGGUUGCAAAGCUGAAACUUAAAGGAAUUGACGGAAGGGCACCACCAGAAGUGGAGCCUGCGGCUUAAUUUGACUCAACACGGGAAACCUCACCAGGUCAGGACAUUGGAAUGAUUGACAGAUUGAUAGCUCUUUCUUGAUUCAGUGGGUAGUGGUGCAUGGCCGUUCUUAGUUGGUGGAUCGAUUUGUCUGGUUAAUUCCGAUAACGAACGAGACUCUAGCCUAUUAACUAGACGCGUUUGGUAUCGAAUCUACCGGCGAACUAUAUUCUUCUUAAGGGGACAGGCGGCUUUUAGCCGCACGAGAUUGAGCAAUAACAGGUCUGUGAUGCCCUUAGAUGUCCUGGGCCGCACGCGCGCUACACUGAAGGAAUCAGCGUGUGCGUUCCCUUGGCCGAAAGGUCCGGGUAACCCGCUGAACCUCCUUCGUGCUAGGAAUUGGGGCUUGCAAUUGUUCCCCAUGAACGAGGAAUUCCCAGUAAGCGCGAGUCAUAAGCUCGCGUUGAUUACGUCCCUGCCCUUUGUACACACCGCCCGUCGCUACUACCGAUUGAAUGAUUUAGUGAGGUCUUCGGACUGGCGGUAAGCCCAACCGACUCGUCGGUUUUGUCGAACGCUGGAAAGAUGACCAAACUUGAUCAUUUAGAGGAAGUAAAAGUCGUAACAAGGUUUCCGUA